Non-coding RNA from Phthorimaea operculella (potato tuberworm), 73 nucleotides. The record is from the annotation of a GenBank genome assembly. NCBI's taxonomy places the organism in Eukaryota, Metazoa, Arthropoda, Insecta, Lepidoptera, Gelechiidae.
GUAAUCAAUAGCUCAGUGGCAGAGCGGUGGGGCGUUUACCCAUGCGGCCCGGGUUCGAUCCCCGGUCGAUGCA